RNAcentral lists this small RNA (532 nucleotides) under Pongo abelii (Sumatran orangutan). RNAcentral describes it as "processed transcript". The record is from RNAcentral. Lineage: Eukaryota; Metazoa; Chordata; Mammalia; Primates; Hominidae.
GUCCUUAGCAACCAGCCUUGGUUCCCAGCGGCCCAGAGCGCGGCGAACUCAUCUGAAAGACUUUUAUAAAUGACAGUGCAUCAACAGUUGAGCAUGUAUUAACAUGGAGUGGUAUAUUAAUAGGAAGAAGCAUAAUAUAGCACAAAGCAGUCAGUCAAGCUUCUAGUCCAGAAAGUGUAUGAUUUUAUCUGAAGUAAUUUGGAAUAAAUUUACUUGAAAGCAAGCUAUUCUAUAUGAGAAGUUGGGCCAAAUGUUGAUUUGGACAAAAAUGAAUGUAGUAAAGUGGGAAAAAAUCUUGAAGGCUGGCAUCAAAAUAACUCUUAAACAAUGAACUAUUACAGAGAUUUCCACUUGAGUCAUGACUCAUUCCAUCUUCCCCUCAAGUGCAACAUAAGAAUUUAUGAUUUAUGAAUAUGUCUGUUAACAAAUCACCUAUGAUUAAUACAUGUGGAGGCAUAUCUUCCCCUUAUCAUGAAGAGCUCUGGAAAUUAAAUUUUCAACAUUUAAGUGGAGAAAGGGGUCAUAAAUCAAG